AGGCUUUGAUCCUGGCUCAGAUUGAACGCUGGCGGCAUGCUUUACACAUGCAAGUCGAACGGUAACAGGUCUUCGGAUGCUGACGAGUGGCGAACGGGUGAGUAAUGCAUCGGAACGUGCCCAGUCGUGGGGGAUAACGCAGCGAAAGCUGUGCUAAUACCGCAUACGAUCUGCGGAUGAAAGCGGGGGACCUUCGGGCCUCGCGCGAUUGGAGCGGCCGAUGUCAGAUUAGGUAGUUGGUGGGGUAAAGGCUCACCAAGCCAACGAUCUGUAGCUGGUCUGAGAGGACGACCAGCCACACUGGGACUGAGACACGGCCCAGACUCCUACGGGAGGCAGCAGUGGGGAAUUUUGGACAAUGGGCGCAAGCCUGAUCCAGCAAUGCCGCGUGCAGGAAGAAGGCCUUCGGGUUGUAAACUGCUUUUGUACGGAACGAAAAGCUCUGGGUUAAUACCCUGGGGUCAUGACGGUACCGUAAGAAUAAGCACCGGCGUA
RNAcentral lists this ribosomal RNA (495 nucleotides) under uncultured Hydrogenophaga sp. RNAcentral's name for it is "bacterial SSU rRNA". It matches the Rfam family "Bacterial small subunit ribosomal RNA", at positions 8 to 500 of the family's 1533-position model. The record is from RNAcentral. Lineage: Bacteria; Pseudomonadati; Pseudomonadota; Betaproteobacteria; Burkholderiales; Comamonadaceae.